Molecule: ribosomal RNA, 253 nt
Filed under: uncultured bacterium
Lineage: Bacteria
Description: partial 16S ribosomal RNA
Rfam family: Bacterial small subunit ribosomal RNA
Source: RNAcentral
UACGUAGGGCGCAAGCGUUAUCCGGAAUUAUUGGGCGUAAAGAGCUUGUAGGCGGUUUGUCGCGUCUGCUGUGAAAUUUCGGGGCUCAACCCCGAACUUGCAGUGGGUACGGGCAGACUAGAGUGUGGUAGGGGAGACUGGAAUUCCUGGUGUAGCGGUGAAAUGCGCAGAUAUCAGGAGGAACACCGAUGGCGAAGGCGGGUCUCUGGGCAGUAACUGACGCUGAGGAGCGAAAGCGUGGGGAGCGAACAGG